GGCAGCCGACUCGGGGUCGGGCUGCGGAGCCGAAGAUAUCCGACUCGGAGUCGGGUUACUGGAUCAAGGGGCAGCCGACUCGGGGUCGGGCUGCGAGGCCAAAGAUAUCCGACUCGGGGUCGGGUUACUGGAUCAAGGGGCAGCCGACUCAGGGUCGGGCUGCGAGGCCGAAGAUAUCCGACUCGGGGUCGGGUUACUGGAUCAAGGGGCAGCUGUAAUCUUCUAGGGCGCGCGUGCCGGUCACGUGGGGCAUGGUGGCUGAGUUCCCCCGUAACAAGGUUAAUUUUUAAUUAAGCACAAAUUUAAUCUAAUUUAAUUUGGUCAACCUAAGUCCUCUUGAUUCAGACAUAAUCCAAUCAAGUCAAAAAUCCUGAUUGAGCCCAAAGUUGAAUCCAAUUCAAUUUGGUUCAUCCUCAGUCUAAUUACUCAAUCAAAUUGAGUUUACUAGUAAUCUAAUUACUAAUUAAUUCUCCAAUAAUUAAUUUAAUUAUUUUAUAAGAUAA
This 503-nucleotide long non-coding RNA is filed under the name Phoenix dactylifera (date palm). RNAcentral's name for it is "long non-coding RNA (PDAC_LNC020715)". The record is from RNAcentral. Lineage: Eukaryota; Viridiplantae; Streptophyta; Magnoliopsida; Arecales; Arecaceae.